CGCCGCGUGCGGGAUGAAGGCCUUCGGGCUGUAAACCGCUUUCAGCAGGAACGAAAAUGACGGUACCUGGANAAGAAGGAGCGGCCAACUACUUGCCAGCAGCCNCGGUGACACGUAAGGCUCCAAGCGUUGUCCGGAUUUAUUGGGCGUAAAGAGCUCGUAGGCGGUUUAGUAAGUCGGGUGUUAAAACUCUGGGCUCAACCCGGAGAGGCCAUCCGAUACUGCUGUGUCUUGAGUUCAGGAGGGGAGCGGGGAAUUCCUAGUGUAGCGGUGAAAUGCGCAGAUAUUAGUAGGAACACCGGUGGCGAAGGCACCCCUCUGGACUGAAACUGACGCUGAGGAGCGAAAGCAUGGGUAGCAAACAGGAUUAGAUACCCUGGUAGUCCAUGCCGUAAACGAUGGGCACUAGGUGUGGGUUCC
RNAcentral lists this ribosomal RNA (420 nucleotides) under uncultured bacterium. RNAcentral describes it as "bacterial SSU rRNA". It matches the Rfam family "Bacterial small subunit ribosomal RNA", at positions 395 to 830 of the family's 1533-position model. The record is from RNAcentral.